GCAAGAGUGGGCUAGCAACGCCUCUGUUUCCCAGAAACACCUCCCCUCUGACCCAGGCUUUGCUGACAUCCUCACUUAUGGUGCUGACUUGGGACUUGGGGCUGAAGCACGGUUGCGUCUAUGUGCUUCACGUCCCCUACAGUGAGGCUCUUUUCUGCUUUCCGGGACUCACUGGUUGAAUCUCUCCAGCCUGUGAUGGAUGAUCUGACCUCCUUUUUACAGUUUGGGUCAAUUGGAAGCACAGCAUGGUCAGGACACUGGCUCAAGGUCACACAGCUGGUGAAUUGUGGAGCUGGAAAUUAAUCUUAGACAGUCAGUCCCCACAGUCCACACUGUGGACCAAAGGGAGUCACAUAGUCUUCAGGAGAAAGCAAAAAAGAGUUCCUAGCAGCUGAAUUCACCACAGUCCAAAAUUGUGAGAACCCAAGUGGCCACCUAUAGACAAAUGAAAGAAAACAUUGGGUCUUGGCAGAUGGAAGUCUACACAGCCAAGAAAAAAAAACAAACUAUCAAAUCAUGAAACAACAUGCACGUAUCUCCUAGAAGAGUAAAGGCCUUCAGACAUCCAGAACACACCCCUAAGACUGGCUUUGGUGUUUUUCCAUUCCAAGAACCAAUCUUGAAGGGGGGCUCCGAGUGGGGAUUGACAUGGAGGAGGAUCAAGGACAUCUUCAGUGUCCUGAGAUGUUUUCACUCUUCUCCGAGAGGAGGCUGGAGGUAUGCUCUCAUCGAUAAAAGUGUCCUGAGACAUGGAUUGAAGACUUGCACCUUGUACUGGAGGAGUGUUAUGUUCAAUUUAGAAAUUAAAAACACGUGCACAGGUUAUGAUGAAAUACUGGAUUUGCUGCCUUAUUUUUAAUAUUUACAUAGG
This 871-nucleotide long non-coding RNA is filed under the name Marmota monax (woodchuck). The record is from RNAcentral. Lineage: Eukaryota; Metazoa; Chordata; Mammalia; Rodentia; Sciuridae.